This 1798-nucleotide small RNA is filed under the name Caenorhabditis elegans. Its description in RNAcentral is "Unclassified non-coding RNA F53A3.11". The record is from RNAcentral. Lineage: Eukaryota; Metazoa; Nematoda; Chromadorea; Rhabditida; Rhabditidae.
GCGUGAAAAUCAGCUCCGUCAACGUCAGCAAAACUUUUUUGAUCUGACGUCAUCGUCGCCGGCCACGUCAUCAUUUGUGACGACACAAGUAGUUGUUCCACGUCUUACACAUCUCGAGGAACGGCUCAUCGAGUUGGGUGUCGAGCACGAAGUUGUGCAGCAUACGCAGAGAUUACAGUCGGAAUUUGAGAAUUAUCAUCAUCUCCAGCAGCAACAUAAUCAUCAGAAUUUCCAACAACAACAACAGGGAAAUCACGAUUUUGUGACCCCGAAAGUGAGUUUUUUCGAUUUUUUACUAUGAAAUUCAGAUUCCCCGCCAAAUUUCACCCUUGGAGCACUUUUUCUGGACUUUUAGCUCAAUUUUUGAAAUUUUCGGGUUACGGUAGCCUCGAAAAUACGCAAACACCGGGGGGGCCUCACGACAAAUUGCACAGCUUUCGCAAAUUUGAAGCUGGUGCUCUGAAAAUUGCGUUUCCCGGGGUAGAAAACGACGGGGGAUUCGAAUUUUUCAUCAAAAACUAUUCAAAUCGAGUUUUUUUAAAUGGAAAUUCACAUUUUUUGAGUUUUUAGAAUUUUUCAACUUGAAAAUAUAAUUUUUGUAAAAAAUAAUGCUCAAAUUCGAGUUCCCCGCCAAAUUUUACCCCGGAAUCCUGUUUACUCGGGCUUCUAGCUCGAAUUUUCAUAAUUCCGGGGUACUGUAGCUCCGGAAGUACGCAAACACCACAGGUCUCACGACAAAAUGCACCGUUUUCGUAUUUUUGGUGUUAGCGGUCUGAAAAUCAGGCUCUUAGAGUGAAAAAUGACGAGAAUAUCGAAAAUCGACUUGAAAAUUCGUUUUGCACAAAUUUUUGGAGUUAAAAAAGCGAAAAAAUCGGAAUUUUCCGUCAAAAUUUGAACAUUUUAAUUUGAUUUUCGUAUUUUGCGUCAUUUUUCACCCCCGGACCCCUAUUUCCAGACCGCUAACACCAAAAAUAUGCAAACUGUGCAUUUUGUCGUUAGCCACUCGGUGUUUGCGUAUUUUUGGCGCUACCGUAACCCGGAAAAUUUAAAUUUUGAGUUAAAGACGUUGAAAAUAGCGUAUAGAGGUGAAAUUUCAUGGGAAAUUUGAAUUUUUACAUGAAAUUUUUGAAAAUUAAUUUCAAACCCGGAUUUUUUAAGCUUUCAAGUUAAUUUUUCCGUGAAAAUAGUUUCGAAAUCGAAUUCCCCAUCAAAUUUCACACCUAAACCCAUUUUCUCAGGCUUCUAGCUCGAUUUUUGAAAAUUUUGGGGUACUGUAGCUCCAAAAAUACGCAAACACCGCGAUCUCUUACGCAAAAAGGCACAGUUUUCUCAAAUUUAAAGCUAGCGGUCUGAAAAUUGAGCUCCCGGGGUGAAAAAUGACGGAGAAUUUGAAAAUGAUAAUGAAAAUUUGAAAAAAUCACUUUUUUCAGGCCCCACAGGACAAACAAAAACGGAAAUAUACAAAGCGAAAAGCUCUUCUCAACACAGCAGUGGCUUCUUCGUCGGAUCAAAACGGCAUGAAAAGUCCCGGUAGUUCGGCGAUGGAAAAUGCUGCCGCUGCGGCCCAGGCUGCUCAGGCCCAGGCGCAGGCAACAAUACCUACACCUACAGUAAACCUACCAGAUGUUGUGGCAAUUGCCGCUGCGGCGGCAACCGCCCAACCGUCGGCCGCCGCCGCCAAACGCCCGGCCAGUGAAACACCGCCAAAUGGGCUGCCAAAAGUCCCAAGACACGAUGAGCAACAGCAACAACAAAAUAAUGCACAUUCUAUUGUGAUGGGCGCUCGAGAGGGAUUUUU